This is a non-coding RNA of Zootermopsis nevadensis, 2256 nucleotides long. Lineage: Eukaryota; Metazoa; Arthropoda; Insecta; Blattodea; Termopsidae. The record is from RefSeq and is a predicted model, not a curated record.
AUAAUAUCAAGUUAUUAACUAGCUAAGUAAUUAACUCCAUCAAGCAGAGUCCUUUUUGAGGAGCUAAUAGUCACUCACUCAGAUAGUCAACAAAUUCCCUGUCUUUCAUGAAACCCAAAGGUUCAUAAGUGCCUGUCACCAGCUAUUAAUUUGAGCCACAUGAAUUCAAUCCACACCCUCCCCACUAUUUGCCUAAGAACCAUCUUAAUAUUACCCUGCUGUCUAUGCUUAGAUCUUCUGAGUACUCUGUUCCCUUCAGGCUUCCCAACUAAAAUUUUGUACGCAUUUAUCUUCUCCAUGUGUGCUGUGUGCUUUGCUCAUCUCAUUCUCAUCCUCUGUGAUUUGAUCUUCAUAAAGUUUGGUGAAGAGUACAAAUUAUGGAACUAUUCAUUAUACUGUUUACUCCAGCAUCCUAUCAUAUCAUCCAUCAUAGAUUCAAAUACAGUAGACCCUCAUUAUACUGUGGAAUCAGAUAUACCAUUGGUAUGAUCAUAUCCUUCAAGAGCGUUAUGUUUUAUUUAAUAGAAAUUGGUACAAAAUAUGUUUUAACUUAUUUGUAAGACUGUGCUUCCAUACUUUCUGCCCAAAUUAUUUAGUUGACUGUACAGCCACAUUUUCUUGUAUAAUCAUGCAGGUAAAAGGGAUAAAGUUUAUCAUCAUUUCUGACAAAUUAAAUAUGUGACCAUUUUAGUAAUGAGAUAACAUAUUUGUACUUUACAGUAAUGUGUGUCAAUAGAAUCAAUAAAUAUGUAAUGUAUGUCUUGAAUUUAGUGUAUUUUAGUCACUAUGUAAGUUAUACAUAAAACUCAUGAUUUAAAAAUUAGAUAAAUGUUGUUUUCACUUAUAAUGCAGGUGUUGAAGCCGUCCCCUGAUGGCCAUGGUAUAAUGAGGGUCUACUGUAUUGUCCUCAGCACCUUGUUCUCAAGCAUUCUCAAUCUAUGUUCUUCCUUAACAUGAGACCAUGUUUUCACACCACUGAAAAAUAACAGAUGUGGAACUCAACACACUCACCUUUAAUGCAACGGCAGCCAUUGCCAAGGGCACGGAUAUAGCCCUCAACACUGGAUGGGCCAUUCAACUGGUCCUCGAGUAGGUAUGUGUUGUGGGAGGAAGAAAUGAAAUAAUGAGUGAAAGGAUGCCUCAUGUUCUGACACACCUUUCGAUGAAGAGGCUCGAAGAUGUCACACUCUUCUGACAGCAGGAAGAGUUGCAGGUCCUCCACAGAGAGAUAGUCUUUGUUUGCUAUCCUGCAGGGAAAAGGACACUUCACCUGGGAUGUGUUCACAAUGCAGUUAGCUGCAACAUGUAUUGUUUCUGUCAUUAAGACAGCUGCCCUCUGUGUUGUGCAGGCAUGUUUUGCUAACCUUUCAACUCAUAUUUCAACUGUGUAUUUUAUGACAAAUUUAAGAAAUUGAAGGAAUAUACAGGCUAUAUCUGAACUUAAUAGCCAUGAAUAAUGCUAUUUCUUUCGCCUAAAGGCGAAGUAAAGAGAAAUGAUGUUAUUGGUAGAAUGUAGUUUGUAUAUGUAUUGCAGUAAACAUUAACAACUUUGAAAAUGUGUACUUCAGUGUAGUACACAUACUCGUAUUUUCAAAAUAUAUUACAGAUACCAUUGAUAUUGUUUAUUUAUUGCAAAUACAAAUUCAUUACUGCAAAGAAAACUCUACAGAUAUCACACUGUAACAAGUCAGAAAUUAUUUGAUGUAUAUUUUAUUAAAGUUGUGUACAAAAAUAGUUCCUGAUAAAAGUUUGAGAUCUUAAUGAGAUCUGUAAUUUAUUCCAAGUACUAAGUUAUUACAAAACACAGAAUUUUUGAAAAAUAUGACAGGGCCUAAAACAUAAUUUGUGCUUCAGGUAAGGUAAAGGAUAAAAGUAACUGAUAUAUACAAAAAUCACCUAAUUGAUUUUUAUUUGGACCUCGCAAUUCUAAAAUCCAAAAUACAGUCAUCAUUCUGAUCCAAGUAUUUAUUUUAUGACAUUCUGUUACAGUUGUUCCUGAAUUUAUUUUUUCUGUGACUGUUUGAAAAUUGUCAACGGCCUUGAAAUGUGCUAUGCUAUAGAUGCUGAAGAUGAGAAUAAAGAAGUUGUUGUUCCGUUGACGACCUGAAUGGAACUGACAGACCACACUGUGGGAACCUCUGCUGUAUCAGCUGCUGAUAUGUAGCAUGGAAGUGGGAUUUGAGUCUAUGUGAUUCUGAGAAUUAUUAUGGUUUAGCAUAGCAACUAUCAGGCUCUCCUGUACUGAACCGUUUGAAG